This 253-nucleotide ribosomal RNA is filed under the name uncultured bacterium. Its description in RNAcentral is "partial 16S ribosomal RNA". It matches the Rfam family "Bacterial small subunit ribosomal RNA", at positions 524 to 776 of the family's 1533-position model. The record is from RNAcentral.
UACGUAGGGUGCGAGCGUUGUCCGGAAUUAUUGGGCGUAAAGAGCUCGUAGGCGGUUUGUCGCGUCGGCCGUGAAAACUUGGGGCUUAACCCCAAGCCUGCGGUCGAUACGGGCAGACUUGAGUUCGGCAGGGGAGACUGGAAUUCCUGGUGUAGCGGUGAAAUGCGCAGAUAUCAGGAGGAACACCGGUGGCGAAGGCGGAUCUCUGGGCCAUUACUGACGCUGAGGAGCGAAAGCGUGGGGAGCGAACAGG